GGUUAGUGCACUUAGCGAGUUCACAAGACCUAUUUUAUGGUACGAACUGAGUGCAUGAUGAUUUAUGAAGUCUAUUGGGGCUUACCAUAAGACAGUGCCAUGAAUUCGCAAAGCGUUCAAACC
RNAcentral lists this microRNA precursor (123 nucleotides) under Oryza longistaminata (longstamen rice). RNAcentral describes it as "pre miRNA MIR1428". It matches the Rfam family "MIR1428 microRNA precursor family". The record is from RNAcentral. Lineage: Eukaryota; Viridiplantae; Streptophyta; Magnoliopsida; Poales; Poaceae.